This 2607-nucleotide long non-coding RNA is filed under the name Solanum lycopersicum (tomato). RNAcentral's name for it is "long non-coding RNA (SLYC_LNC000791)". Lineage: Eukaryota; Viridiplantae; Streptophyta; Magnoliopsida; Solanales; Solanaceae. The record is from RNAcentral.
AAACUUUCAACUAGAAUUAAAAAUUUUGCCAAAAAUUUGAUAAGAUAAUGACUCUUUUGAUUUUGUAGAGGCAUUCAAAAAUAUGAGAAAGUGAGGUUAGUUAUGAACGAUACAGGAGUGAUGAGAUAGUAAUUCGAAAAAAUAUUUUAUUUUUAAAUCGGGGUUCAGCCUUUGCAGCUGGGUUGAAUAUUGAUGAAUUGACCAAAAAAAUCGAGACAUGACAUAUUGUAAAAGGUAAUUUUCUCCACUAAUUAUUAGGAAUGAUAUAUGGGGGUAAAAUUGUACGCGGAGGUUAAGAAAUGUAAGGUUGAAUUUGCUAUGUAUCCCCCUCUGUAUUGAUACUCCAGAUAAGAAUGUUGCCGAGAUACAAAACUUUGAUGCAUCAACUGGUGCAAUUGUAUGAGUUAAAAAGGACACAUAUGGCUAGAAUCAAAAAUUGGUGAUUCGUGUUAUAUACAAAAAAUAUAGAUAACAAAUUACAUAGCUGAUACAAAUAGUAUAGAAGUGAAGGUGGAACAAUUGUACAAGGAUAAACACUACUCCAGUGGUUGUAAUAACAAAACACAAAAUAGAACAUAACUUUAAUUUUCAAGUUACAAGAUCUGAUGAUAAAGACACAUAUUAUUGUGCUUUAAUCAUUUCAUUGGAAAAAUAACUUAAAUACACAACUAUAAUUUUUAUAUUCUCUAAUUUUUCCCACCUUUUUUAAAUAUUACAUAAUUUCCUUUUUUUUAAUUUUAGUGUAAGUUUUUAGAUACAUUACAUUCUCUCUCCUAUAAUACACAUUUACCCAUUUUAAUGCCUAUUUUUUCUCCAUUAAAACACUCAACCUCUUAAAUCAGUUUUUGAAUUUUGAAUUUUAUCCAUUUUAACACUCAACCUUUUAAAUCAGCUUUUUGAUUUUGAAUUAUUAAAUUUAAUUAAUUUUAAAUAAAAGACCAAAUUUUGAAAUUUUGAAUUUCAAAAUUCAAAAAAUUUGAAAUUUAAAAAAGUAAAAAUUUCAGGAAGCAGGACAACUUCUCUUAACUUCUACCGUUUUGUUCUCCAUCAAGUUUAAGUUCUUUUUGCAUGAUCCUAUGAAUCUUCAGAUGGAUUCAAACAAAGACUCUGGCUGUAAGAAGCUCAAUUAAUAGUCUCUUCGGCUUCUUUUCGUAAAGUUAACAUUUCCUUUUUGUUCUAUGUUAAGAUGUAAUCUGGAUUUGAUAAUAUUUCAUUCUUUUACAGAUCUGUACAAACUAGACGUGCUAAACUUGGAAGGGUCUGUUGUUACUGCGUCAUGUUUGGAUUACCUCACAGGUCUGCUUUUACUAUUUUAAUUUCCAUGUUAUCUUACUAGGCCUAGUUUGCGGGACAAACUUUAUGAAGUAAAAGAGAAUUUUUCGGGGAAUUACUUCUCUAUUCUGGGAUUCCAUCACGUUGUUGAAGUUUCUGAUAGUUCGUUUAUCCUAAUGCAGCUCUCACUUCAUUGAAGUCGCUAAACUGUCAAUAGAUCUCACCUUUUAGAUGAUGGAUGCGAGAAGUUUUUGGGUAAGUGGAAGACAUUUGUUAUCUGCCAAAAAGAACUGACUAAAGCAAAACCAUUCCACAUUGUUAGCCAACCGUUUUAUAUCUGCAGCACUCAGCAGUUUGAAAGAGUUAAAUCUGGGAUUUAACAAUAUCACGGAUACAUGAAUUUGUUGUGUAUCAUAAUAUUUUAUAUGUAUCAUGAGGUUUUUAAAAUUAUUAUAAUGUAUCAUUCAAUAAUGCGUCAUCAACUGGGCUUGAGGAUACAUAUAGAAUCAGUGCUUUAGUCAAUGCAUUGAUACAUGUAGUAGAUAUGUAUCACAUGUUUUGCAUGUAGUAUGAAUUCCUGAAAACUGAUAUCAUGUAUCAGUAAGGUAUUAGUUGUUUAGUUGAUGUACUGAUACAUGUUUUGAAAAUUGUUAUAAUGUAUCAUUCACUAAAUUUAAUAAAUGCGUCAUCAACUGUACUUGAUGAUACAUAGAGAAUCAGUGUGUAUAUUGUUUAGUAGAUGUUUCUGAUACAUGUAUUAGAUAUGUAUCACAUGUUAUAAUGUUUUAGUUAAUUCACUGAUACAUGUAGUAGACAUGUAUCACAUGUUUUUCAUGUAGUAUGAAUUUCUGAAAACUGAAACCAUGUAUCAGUAAGUUAUUAGUUGUUUUAUUUAGUAUUUAUAUUUCAAUAUCGUUAUAAUUUGUUGUUUUAAUUUCAAAUUGCAGCCAAUGAAGUACAAGAUUAAAAAGAUACCAAGACAUCCCAUAAUGUUUGUUGUCAAUUUUAACAACAAUUUCCUAAAGGAAAAGAAUGUGAUCAGAUUCCAGGGGGGAGGAGUAUCUUCAGCAGACUGAUUAUGCAAGGAAACUGUACUGCAUAUAAACACCAGAGGCAAAAGCAUCUUCAGCUUCCAAAGACCUUUACUUGCUUCAAAUUCAUACCCUUAGGUCUUGUAGUUAGAGAACUUAUUGUAUUGUCUUUUUAUUCACUAUGUAAGAUUGUUUCUCGUGUUUUGUAGUUGUAGCAUGUAUAGACUUUUUGUAAUUGAUAAGAGUAUAGAUAAUUAUCAUCUAUUUGUUUUGUAUUGAACACUAUUGGAUGAAUAGAGUGCAU